CAAGAUAUACAACCGCAUCAUGUUCGCCCGAUUGCGCCGCUUCAAGAAAGCCGAGGACUUUGGGUGGAUCCCGCCUUACCCAUCCAGCAUGAUGCACUACAGCCUACUGGGAAACUAUAUGCUGCUCCCAAUCGACUACAUUCAGUACCCGUUUUUUCUACUGGACAUGACACCGUAAGUUGGUCAUACGCUUAAUUUUUUUUCAAGUUUU
Molecule: long non-coding RNA, 211 nt
Organism: Rhipicephalus microplus (southern cattle tick)
Lineage: Eukaryota; Metazoa; Arthropoda; Arachnida; Ixodida; Ixodidae
Source: RefSeq, a predicted model, not a curated record